Molecule: long non-coding RNA, 917 nt
Filed under: Homo sapiens (human)
Lineage: Eukaryota; Metazoa; Chordata; Mammalia; Primates; Hominidae
Description: HSALNT0219207
Source: RNAcentral
GGCGGAGUAAGGCGUGCCGCUGCAAACUGGCCUCUGGGCCGGGGGCGAGCAGCCCCCGGGAGGCCGAGUGCAUCUGUUGGACCGUGCGAGGAGAAGAAAAAAAAUAUCGGCCAGAGGAGAGGAACUAACCGAACAUUCUUCCUCCCUACCUUAUAGAGGGGAGUGGUCAUCUACACUAAAGCAAAGUGUUAGGCGCGUCCGUGCGAAGAGACCACCAAACAGGCUUUGUGUUCCUUAUCACAGGAAGAAAAUUUUCCUUGACCUUUAGGUGCUUUUAUAUUCAUCUCAAAAACAAAAUUCUGAACUCAGGACUUGAAUUGCUUGAAUCCGGGAGGCGGAGGUUGCAGUGAACUGAGAUUGCACCACUGCACUCCAGCCUGGGCGACAGAGUGAGACUCCGUCUCAGAAAAAUAAAAAACAACUUUGGACAUAGAGGAGUUGGGGGCAGAGGGGGGAGGAUGAGAGAAUUUUCCAUGUAACUCCUUUUCCUUAAGAAAAAGAAGCAAAAAUCCCUCAUGCAGUGCCAUCUGACUUUAUGGUGUUUCACAUUAUAUAGUUACUUUUUUUAAUAAACGCAUAAGAUUAACUCUUCCUGCAACCCAAGGUGGAUACUUGGAUGUUUGAUUUUUAUUUAUUUAUUUAUUUAUUUUUUGAGGCAGUCUCUCUCUGUUGCCCAGGCUGGAGUGAUGCGUGAUUUCUGCUCACUGCAGUCUCUCCCACCCGGGUUCAAGCGAUUCUCCUGCCUCAGCCUCCCAAGUAGCUAGGAUUACAGGCGCGCACCACCACGCUCAGCCUGAUUUCUAGGCUGAAAAGGCUGGGACUCAGGUACUUUCCCCAGUUGGGACUGAACUUUCUCAUCAGAGAAUGGGCCUCAGAAGCAAUGUUCCCAAACUUGUGGUUGGGUCAUCGUGGAAAAG